UGGCCUGACACCAUUGCCUAC
This 21-nucleotide unclassified non-coding RNA is filed under the name Mus musculus (house mouse). RNAcentral's name for it is "oocyte_clustered_small_RNA6741". Lineage: Eukaryota; Metazoa; Chordata; Mammalia; Rodentia; Muridae. The record is from RNAcentral.